AACGAACGCUGGCGGCAGGCUUAACGCAUGCAAGUCGAACGCCCUAGCAAUAGGGAGUGGCGCACGGGUGAGUAACGCGUGGGAAUGUACCGUUUAGUGGGGGAUAACCAAGGGAAACUUUGGCUAAUACCGCAUACGCCCUUCGGGGGAAAGAUUUAUCGCUAAACGAUGAGCCCGCGUGAGAUUAGGUAGUUGGUGGGGUAACGGCCUACCAAGCCGACGAUCUCUAGCUGGUCUGAGAGGAUGAUCAGCCACACUGGAACUGAGACACGGUCCAGACUCCUACGGGAGGCAGCAGGGGGGAAUAGUGGACAAUGGGGGCAACCCUGAUCCAGCCAUGCCGCGUGAGUGAUGAAGGCCUUAGGGUUGUAAAGCUCUUUUACCGAUGAAGAUAAUGACGGUAGUCGGAGAAAAGGCCCCGGCUAACUUCGUGCCAGCAGCCGCGGUAA
Molecule: ribosomal RNA, 449 nt
Filed under: uncultured bacterium
Lineage: Bacteria
Description: partial 16S ribosomal RNA
Rfam family: Bacterial small subunit ribosomal RNA
Source: RNAcentral